UACGGAGGGGACUAGCGUUGUUCGGAAUUACUGGGCGUAAAGCGCACGUAGGCGGAUUUGUAAGUCAGGGGUGAAAUCCCGGGGCUCAACCUCGGAACUGCCUUUGAUACUGCAAAUCUCGAGUCCGGAAGAGGUGAGUGGAAUUCCUAGUGUAGAGGUGAAAUUCGUAGGUAUUAGGAAGAACACCAGUGGCGAAGGCGGCUCACUGGUCCGGUACUGACGCUGAGACGCGAAAGCGUGGGGAGCAAACAGG
RNAcentral lists this ribosomal RNA (253 nucleotides) under uncultured bacterium. RNAcentral's name for it is "partial 16S ribosomal RNA". It matches the Rfam family "Bacterial small subunit ribosomal RNA", at positions 524 to 776 of the family's 1533-position model. The record is from RNAcentral.